RNAcentral lists this ribosomal RNA (111 nucleotides) under Ananas comosus (pineapple). Lineage: Eukaryota; Viridiplantae; Streptophyta; Magnoliopsida; Poales; Bromeliaceae. The record is from RNAcentral.
GCAUGCGAUCAUACCAGCAAAGCACCGAUCCAUCAGAACUCGCAGUUAAGCGUGCUUUGGCGAGAGUAGUACUAGGAUGGGUGACCCCUGGGAAUCCUCGUGUUGCAUCCU